Molecule: ribosomal RNA, 508 nt
Filed under: uncultured bacterium
Lineage: Bacteria
Description: partial 16S ribosomal RNA
Rfam family: Bacterial small subunit ribosomal RNA
Source: RNAcentral
AUUGAACGCUGGCGGCAUGCCUUACACAUGCAAGUCGAACGGCAGCGGGGGAGAAGCUUGCUUUUCCUGCCGGCGAGUGGCGAACGGGUGAGUAAUACAUCGGAACGUGCCCUGUAGUGGGGGAUAACUAGUCGAAAGAUUAGCUAAUACCGCAUACGACCUGAGGGUGAAAGUGGGGGACCGCAAGGCCUCAUGCUAUAGGAGCGGCCGAUGUCUGAUUAGCUAGUUGGUGGGGUAAAGGCCUACCAAGGCGACGAUCAGUAGCUGGUCUGAGAGGAAGAUCAGCCACCAUGGGACUGAGGCACGGCCCAGACUCCUACGGGAGGCAGCAGUGGGGAAUUUUGGACAAUGGGCGAAAGCCUGAUCCAGCAAUGCCGCGUGUGUGAAGAAGGCCUUCGGGUUGUAAAGCACUUUUGUCCGGAAAGAAAUGGCUCUGGUUAAUACCUGGGGUCGAUGACGGUACCGGAAGAAUAAGGACCGGCUAACUACGUGCCAGCCGCCGCAGUAA